UAAAGAGGGGUCAUAAACUCAUGAACUUUCAGAUGUUGCAACAAAUUGGGGAACAAAACAUUUUUCCUUUUUCAAAUAUAUUAAGUAAAUCUUAUUACAUAGCAUUUUCAAGACAGAUGCAGCCCAACGGUUUUUCCUUUUUGCCAUUAUUUCCAGAUGUUAUCAAUUUUAAAGUCAGCGUUCCAUUUUAAGAACAGGAUCUAUAGGAAGGUGAUAUGUAAUCAGUAGAGUACUAUUUUGCCCUUUUUGGAGGUGUGUUCUGGUUCUACAUUUUGCCAUAAAAUGUGAGAUCAAACCAUAAAAUACAUCCCUGAAAAAAAUGCAGGCCUGAUCAAUCACUUGACUGAACUCUACUUGAAACACUUGGACUUUGGUCAAAUAAGCAUUUGCCACUUGAUUUGUACAGCAUUCCAACAAACGUCCAACUCAAGUCUUCUCUUGAGCCUGAUCUGCAAGGUUGUUUCUGAGUUUCGCUCUUGUUGCCCAGGCUGGAGUGCAAUGGCGU
Molecule: long non-coding RNA, 505 nt
Organism: Chlorocebus sabaeus (green monkey)
Lineage: Eukaryota; Metazoa; Chordata; Mammalia; Primates; Cercopithecidae
Source: RefSeq, a predicted model, not a curated record